GGGUAGUUCCACCAUAUGUCUUUUUCUAUUCUAGAAGGCAUUUGAAAUUUCUAUGCAAAUACCUUCCUCGAUUUUUUGCCUAAGACCUUGAAUUGGAUAGUAACAUAGAAAAUGUAGAAAGAUAAGUGGAUAGCUAGUCUAUCCCAAAAGUAGCUAAAAACUCCAUCUACAAAUAUGGAGGCCUCAAAAUCAUCUCUGACCCAAUGAUCAGAGUAGUAAAAAGAAUAAUGUUGAUCAGAAUUAAUUUUGAGGCCUGAAAAUGGCUAUGCAAUUUGAGGUUAGACAGAAGAACAAAUAUUAUUUCUCUACUAUCUCCUUAUCCUUCCCUUAUUCAACUAGCUCUGGUACCACUAAGGCCCAGGCUUUAUUAAUAGAUAGUAAAGAGAUGAAGAAGGCAACAAAAUUGAAGCAUGUAAAGAGCAAGAUUGAAUAUUGAAAAAAUUCUAAAUUGGUUCUCAAGUUGGAAUAUAAAUUAGCUCUCAAGAAGGAAUGCCAUUUGGCUCUCUAAUUGCCAUACCUGAACUCUGGAAACUCCAGCUGGUUCUCAACUAGGAAUUCUAAUGAGGCUCUCAACUUGGAAUACUAACUUACUCUCAACUUGCUAUACUAACUUGGAGUUUUGAAUUCAUAAAAGAAAGAAAGUAAGAAUGAAAAAAGCAAAAUAUUGAAAUUCUAAAUUUUUUAUGCUUACAAACAAGCUUCUCAAACUUGGAGAUCAUAACCUUUUGUUCUUCGGUGAUUCCAAGAUUGAAAAAUAAAUUGGAGUAACAAAGGGAACAUGAGAGAUAAAAAAUAAUUAAAAAUUUUUAUUGAAAAAAUUUGACAGUUACAGCUCUUGAUUUUUGAUGACUUCGAAUGGAUACACCAAAGUAGGGGUGCAAGGAUAUUUUAGUUGAGGAUAAUUUUUAGAGAGGAUUUUUGAUACAAGAAAUGAGUUUUUGGAGAGGUCUUUUGAAGUCUCUAUUGAAUCCU
RNAcentral lists this long non-coding RNA (972 nucleotides) under Elaeis guineensis (African oil palm). RNAcentral's name for it is "long non-coding RNA (EGUI_LNC075552)". The record is from RNAcentral. Lineage: Eukaryota; Viridiplantae; Streptophyta; Magnoliopsida; Arecales; Arecaceae.